CAGUAUAGUCAAAGACCAACUCCUUAUUUAAACAUUAUACUAAGACUAACAAAGUCAUAUUAACAUGCAUGUCACAGCCCCCUUUUCUGCUUUAUAUAAAGACAGAUUUCAGUUGCAGAUUUUGGAGUAUCGGAUCAUCCAGACUUAACUUCGAAACAACCAUGAUGAAGAAGGUAGUGCUCUUGUGUUUUGUCCUGCUUGCAGUCAUUUCUGUGCCCACCGCUGCUCAAUGCUUUCAACAGCCACAGGGUCUCAUUUGUCGUGAUAAUAUUGAUAAGAAAUUGUACAGUCCUGGACAGAACUGGGUGAAUAGCAAAUGUCAGUUUUGCAAAUGCCAGCCUGGAGCAAUGUCCUGCUGUAGGGGAACACGAGAUGCAGCUGGAAAGUGCAAGAAACCUGAAUAGCAGCACAGCUGGAAAAUAAAUCCAGAAAUUUACAAUGACGGAUUUGAGUCUCCAUGUUGUUACUGUGAUUAAUCAAAUGAUGAGACUCAUUUUAUACAAUGUCAUGAAAUAAAUAAUGAAGAUAAAUAAAGCAACAAUGCAUUAUGCAAAUUA
This is a long non-coding RNA of Tachysurus fulvidraco (yellow catfish), 557 nucleotides long. RefSeq lists it as uncharacterized. The transcript has 4 exons. The record is from RefSeq and is a predicted model, not a curated record. NCBI's taxonomy places the organism in Eukaryota, Metazoa, Chordata, Actinopteri, Siluriformes, Bagridae.